RNAcentral lists this transfer RNA (57 nucleotides) under Capra hircus (goat). It matches the Rfam family "tRNA", at positions 8 to 63 of the family's 71-position model. Rfam says of the family: Transfer RNA (tRNA) molecules are approximately 80 nucleotides in length. Their secondary structure includes four short double-helical elements and three loops (D, anti-codon, and T loops). The record is from Rfam by way of RNAcentral. RNAcentral also lists the same sequence under 1 other name. Lineage: Eukaryota; Metazoa; Chordata; Mammalia; Artiodactyla; Bovidae.
UGGCUCAAAGGGUAAAGCGUCUGCCUGCAAUGCAGGAGACCUGGGUUUGAUUCCUGG